UUUAAAUGAAGACCGGAACAAAAGAUUAAAUGUUUAAAUUUAUAUCUAUAUUUAAUUAAUCAAAUUUAUCUUAAGUGUAAAAAGACACUUAUAAAAAAGAAAGACGACAAGACCCUAUUGAACUUAACUUAAGUUAAACUGGGGCAGUUAAUUAAUAAUAACUUUAAUUUAAAAAAAUUAAAUAAAUCAUCCAAUAUUAUUGAAAUAAUCAAGUUACCAUAGGGAUAACAGCGUAAUAAUUUUCUAAAGCUCCUAUAAAAAAAAAAGCUUACGACCUCGAUGUUGAAUUAAUUACCUAAAUAGAGCAAAAGCUAACAAAGGAAGUCUGUUCGACUUUUAAAAAAUUACAUGAUUUGAGUUCAGACCGGUGUAAACCAGGUCGGUUUCUAUCUUCUAUUAAAUUCUUACAGUACGAAAGGGCCUAAGAAACUAAUUUAAUUAAAAUUAAUUGGCAGAAAAAUGCAUUAGAAUUAGAAUCUAAUCAAACUUAUUUAUACCAUUUAUUUUAUCAUAUUUAAUUAUUAUUAUUAGA
Molecule: ribosomal RNA, 532 nt
Filed under: Selenops sp. n. 13 SCC-2010
Lineage: Eukaryota; Metazoa; Arthropoda; Arachnida; Araneae; Selenopidae
Description: partial 16S ribosomal RNA
Rfam family: Bacterial large subunit ribosomal RNA (bases 98-395)
Source: RNAcentral